Molecule: long non-coding RNA, 3243 nt
Organism: Canis lupus familiaris (dog)
Lineage: Eukaryota; Metazoa; Chordata; Mammalia; Carnivora; Canidae
Exons: 3
Source: RefSeq, a predicted model, not a curated record
GCACCCUAUCUUUUCUCCUUGACUUAAUUUAACCCACCAGAUGCAUUUUUUCCUUAGGACAAAUCUCCUUUUUUUGGAGAUCAUGGCAUCGCAGGGUUUAGUUCUUUUAUUUUUACUUUGUUUUUAACACUUGCUUCCCUUCAUAUGCAAAAAUGAAAUAUGAAGCCUUCAUUUAAUCUCUGCAGUUCAUCUCAUUUCAAAUGUUUAUGGAAGAAGCACUUCAUUGAAAGUAGAGCUGUGAAUAGUCUGCCAUAGGAAUAUUUCUGUCUACAUGCUUUCUCAUUCAAGGAUUCGUCAGCAUGCUACAGAAGCUACAUUUUUGACAGCGGGUGUCCCGUUUUUAUCUGCCACUCUUUAUUUCAUGGAGUUGUACCAAUCCUAUGAACACAGGCCUGUGAUAUGGAACCAGUAGGCUGUUUGAACUUUUGAAAUUUUAUGUGGGAUUGAUGGUGGUGACAAGGCAUGAAAGGCAAGUAUGAGCAAGAACAGGAAAAAGUCCGUGCAGAGACUUGGUGGUGCAUAAUGGAUAUUUUUCAACUUGGCAAGAUGUGUCUCUCAAUCCUGUGGCUUUGGUGAGAGAGCAUGCAGACAGAAAAGACAGCAAAUAAUGUAUAACCGUUUUUUUGUAUUUGAAGGACAUCCACAUUUGUUGGAAGACUGUACCUGAGUUUUGUUUUUAGAUAAGCCCCAUUAAUUGAAUGUGUUAAGUAAAAGGAUGCUUGCAUUCCCCUUACCCCUUUGUCAACCACUAUGAAUGCUGUAUGGUGUGUGUUCUUUUCUGUUACUGCACUGCAAGUGUGGUCAUGUGAACUGAAGCCAGUGGGUUGAGAACAAGAACUGAGCUUGUGCUGUGCUUUGCAGGAGUACUUGGAAACAGAGAUCACCAGGGAGCUUGGGGGAGUCACAAAGAAGGGUGGAAGUUCUAAAGAAUGCUGUUUGAUGUAGCCCUGUGUCCUGUGCUUGGAUCCUUUUUAUAAGAGUUUCCCAUGCUGAAAAUUAUUAAGUAAAACUGAUUUACAUAAUGAAAAACAGUAAAUUGCAAUUUGGUUUACUGUGGAAGAAUAAAAGAAAAUUUACCAAGUCUAUGGACUGAGAAAGUGAUCCUGGAUGAAUUGACAUCUGACUUGGAUCUUCCAAGAUGCAGAAGUUUGAUUGGCUAAGACAUUCCAGGCAAAAGUGCAAUGUGAGCAAAGUUCUAAAGACAAGAAAAAUGUAUAAACAAGAAGCUGUAUGUUGCUAGGAUGAAUUUUGAGGCACAAAAUUGAGAAAGGUUAUCAGGGCAAAUCACAAAUAGAAGGAGCAAGAUCCAAAGACCAGGGAGAAGACAUUGGCUGAAAAAGGUUGGGUUGUAAUUGGCUCCAGUGCAACAAGAAAAUGCAGGGCAAAUUCUCAAGGGGCAUGAAGAAACAGAUGUCUGUGAACACCCGGGCACCGGAGGGACCCACACCAGGCACCUUAAGGCUCAGAAGAACAGAAUAAUUCUUAUUCCAGAAGAAUGAUGUUUCUUAUACACCUGCCAAACUUGGUACUUAUUGAUGGAGAGAAUAAGAGUAGCACUGAGCCCACAGCUUUUCAAUACUACUUGCCAACCUGCUGAAUGGAGACCUGCAGAACUAAUGGUAUACGUAUUUUAUACAUUUAUUUAUAUAAAAAAGUCAAUACUCAAAAAAUAAGAUUGUAAAUAUAGAUGAUGCCCUGGUUUUGGAAAAUCUUCUUGGCCAGACUGAGAAGCUUUAGUUUUUUUAUAGAUAAAUGAAAGGUCAUUUGCCAUUGACAUCUCAAUAAGGAACCAAGGAACCUCAGACCUAAGCUUCUACUAACAAUUCUAGUCCAAAGAAUGUAGUUUAGGCAGGCCAUAUUUCCUUAGGCCAAAUGUACAUAAAGCUGAAUUUCUAAUUAAAAAAUAAAUGGAGAAAUGGUAUGUUUUAACAGUAUUUCCACUCCAGGAUUUCUUUACUUCGUAAGCUAUAUCAUCACUGUCACCUGCUUGAUUCGUAAGCAUCCAGGUUUGGUGCCAUUUUUCAGGAAUAGAGCUAUAGCAUGAGAUAAGGUAUCCUGUGCUCAGGCUUCUCCAUUUAGUAGGCAAGAAAACUACCUCUUCCAUCCUAAAGUUCAGGAUUAUUUUAAAUUAAAAGUAAUAAAAAAAUCCAGAGUGCCUUGAAUUCCUCAGUAGAAAUAUGCUUCGUAGGUGUGAAGUCCAUAAAUUUUUUGUGCCUCCUUUUCUAUAGCCUAACAGCUGGCACGGAAGAGAAAAGGAUUGACUUAGAUACAAGUUAGGGUCACCGUGGACAACUGAGUGGUCAUCUGAGCAGUGGUUUCCAAAAUACUUUGGAUACUAAAGGAUAAGAAUGCAGAACUGCCACUGCUAAUGCGGAUAUCAGCAUAACAACAAAGAACAGCAAUCAUGCAGGUUUUGUUGGAUUCUUGCUGACUGAGAAUCAGAUGAUGUUGCCAAGCCUUAUAACCACUUGGUAAAGGGAGGCGUCUUAAGUGUUGGAACAUGGACUAGCUCACAGGCCAACAUAUGCAAAUACAAUAUUAGAGCUGAACUGCUCCUUAGGACUCCAGCUGCCAGAAGCAGCCUGCGUGCGGGCCACAGAGGAGCACAGUGAGAUGGAGGCAAGAGACAAACACACACACCCACUCGCCUGGAGGAACUUUGAAUCCUUGAAUGCAAAAGAUUCCACUUCAAGUGAAAUAAUAAUCCUUCCUUUAACUGAGUACAGUGAAAAGAACCAUCACCACCACCACCACCACCACAGCAAGACGGUACCAGAUGCAAACCUCAUGUUUAUCAGAUUUCAUCCAGGCAUGGGAGCAAACACAACUGCGAACCUGCAAAAAGAUGAAGGGAGGAACCUAACGUCUGACUCUUCCUUCAGGUGUUUCUUCCAGGAAGCACUCAGAGGGAAAGUCACUAUCCUGCACGAUGAAGUAUUACUCACAUUUUCUGACACAUGUGCAUCUAUCUGAAGACUUAACUAGCCUGAACUGGAACUAUAUACUGCAGGAUUUAUCAUAAAGUUUUCAGGGCAAAGUGGAGCUACAAACACAGUAAGAAGCAGAGAAAAAUUCCUUUGGGCAGCAGAGACUAACAGAAAAGCUAUCAACUAUUAACUUGAGCUCUCUCAAGGAGGGAAGCCCUUUAGUCAAGCAUUCUCAACUGAAGACUCUGCAGAAUGGAGCACCCUCAAGUCCCAGUUAUUAAAAAUAAAACUUACUUUACUCAGAAGUAAUAAAAGA